GACAGAGGGUGCAAACGUUGUUCGGAAUUACUGGGCGUAAAGCGCGUGUAGGCUGCUCGGAAAGUCGGGUGUGAAAGCCCUGGGCUCAACCUAGGAAGUGCACUCGAAACUUCCGAGCUGGAGUUUCGGAGAGGAAGGCGGAAUUCUCGGUGUAGAGGUGAAAUUCGUAGAUAUCGAGAGGAACACCAGUGGCGAAGGCGAGUCUCUGGACGACUCCUGACACUGAGGCACGAAAGCCAGGGGAGCAAACAGG
RNAcentral lists this ribosomal RNA (253 nucleotides) under uncultured bacterium. Its description in RNAcentral is "partial 16S ribosomal RNA". It matches the Rfam family "Bacterial small subunit ribosomal RNA", at positions 524 to 776 of the family's 1533-position model. The record is from RNAcentral.